This is a transfer RNA of Camelus ferus (Wild Bactrian camel), 72 nucleotides long. It matches the Rfam family "tRNA". Rfam says of the family: Transfer RNA (tRNA) molecules are approximately 80 nucleotides in length. Their secondary structure includes four short double-helical elements and three loops (D, anti-codon, and T loops). Further hydrogen bonds mediate the characteristic L-shaped molecular structure. tRNAs have two regions of fundamental functional importance: the anti-codon, which is responsible for specific mRNA codon recognition, and the 3' end, to which the tRNAs corresponding amino acid is attached (by aminoacyl-tRNA synthetases). tRNAs cope with the degeneracy of the genetic code in two manners: having more than one tRNA (with a specific anti-codon) for a particular amino acid; and 'wobble' base-pairing, i.e. permitting non-standard base-pairing at the 3rd anti-codon position. Lineage: Eukaryota; Metazoa; Chordata; Mammalia; Artiodactyla; Camelidae. The record is from Rfam.
AAGGGUAUAGCUCAGUGGUAGAGCGCAUGCUUAGCAUGAACGGAGCCCUGGGUUUAAUCCCCAGUACCUUCA